Non-coding RNA from Cinara cedri, 207 nucleotides. NCBI's taxonomy places the organism in Eukaryota, Metazoa, Arthropoda, Insecta, Hemiptera, Aphididae. The record is from the annotation of a GenBank genome assembly.
CAACCUUACUUCAGUCAGGAUCAUUUUCCGUUAGCAAUGGUUAUUCGUUGCAUACAGAUAUGCAUUAAAUUUCCCCUUUACCUUGCCAACUUCUCACCUACCUCAGUGCAUGGGCGACACACUUAUGAAGUAUGUCUGAUUUUUUAACAUUUGAAACGGUUUUAAAAUAAAAACGAUUGACCGGGAAAAAAAAUAUGAUUUUUUAAU